Molecule: ribosomal RNA, 258 nt
Filed under: uncultured Pseudomonas sp.
Lineage: Bacteria; Pseudomonadati; Pseudomonadota; Gammaproteobacteria; Pseudomonadales; Pseudomonadaceae
Description: partial 16S ribosomal RNA
Rfam family: Bacterial small subunit ribosomal RNA
Source: RNAcentral
CGGCGGACGGGUGAGUAAUGCCUAGGAAUCUGCCUGGUAGUGGGGGACAACGUUUCGAAAGGAACGCUAAUACCGCAUACGUCCUACGGGAGAAAGCAGGGGACCUUCGGGCCUUGCGCUAUCAGAUGAGCCUAGGUCGGAUUAGCUAGUUGGUGAGGUAAUGGCUCACCAAGGCGACGAUCCGUAACUGGUCUGAGAGGAUGAUCAGUCACACUGGAACUGAGACACGGGUCCAGACUCUUACGGGAGGCAGCAGCC